RNAcentral lists this ribosomal RNA (255 nucleotides) under uncultured bacterium. RNAcentral describes it as "partial 16S ribosomal RNA". It matches the Rfam family "Bacterial small subunit ribosomal RNA", at positions 524 to 776 of the family's 1533-position model. The record is from RNAcentral.
UACGUAGGGUGCAAGCGUUGUCCGGAAUUAUUGGGCGUAAAGAGCUCGUAGGCGGUUUGUCGCGUCUGCUGUGAAAUCUGGAGGCUCAACCUCCAGCCUGCAGUGGGUACGGGCAGACUAGAGUACUGCAGGGGAGACUGGAAUUCCUGGUGUAGCGGUGAAAUGCGCAGAUAUCAGGAGGAACACCGGUGGCGAAGGCGGGUCUCUGGGCAGUUUUGCUGACACUGAGGCGCGACAGCGUGGGGAGCAAACAGG